AUUGAACGCUGGCGGAAUGCUUUACACAUGCAAGUCGAACGGUAGAGGGGGCAACCCCUUGAGAGUGGCGAACGGGUGAGUAAUAUAUCGGAACGUGCCCAGUCGUGGGGAUAACGUAGCGAAAGCUACGCUAAUACCGCAUACGAUCUAUGGAUGAAAGCGGGGGAUCGCAAGACCUCGCGCGAUUGGAGCGGCCGAUAUCAGAUUAGGUAGUUGGUGAGGUAAAGGCUCACCAAGCCGACGAUCUGUAGCUGGUCUGAGAGGACGACCAGCCACACUGGACUGAGACACGGCCCAGACUCCUACGGGAGGCAGCAGUGGGGAAUUUUGGACAAUGGGCGCAAGCCUGAUCCAGCAAUGCCGCGUGCAGGAUGAAGGCCUUCGGUUGU
RNAcentral lists this ribosomal RNA (389 nucleotides) under uncultured bacterium. RNAcentral describes it as "bacterial SSU rRNA". It matches the Rfam family "Bacterial small subunit ribosomal RNA", at positions 30 to 426 of the family's 1533-position model. The record is from RNAcentral.